Tyto alba (common barn owl) is the source of this 1885-nucleotide long non-coding RNA. RefSeq lists it as uncharacterized. Lineage: Eukaryota; Metazoa; Chordata; Aves; Strigiformes; Tytonidae. The transcript is spliced from 6 exons. The record is from RefSeq and is a predicted model, not a curated record.
GAGGCACUGCGAAGAAAAAGCGUUUCUUUCUGGAGGAUAAAUAACGUGCAGAGAAGGCCUGGGAAGGCGGGUGAGGAGAGCGGGGUUUGAUCUUGCCGGGGUUUAUGUUUUAUGAGAGAAAUGCAGGCUCGGUGAAAAGCCGUGGCCCAGGAGAAAGUGGGCAAAUUGUCAACGUAAAUGUGGCACCGCAUAAACGUUUGGAAACACUGAGUAACUCCAGUCUUCUUAAGGCAAACAAUCUCUUUCAGCCACUUGGGUUGACCAAGGGACGUGAAUGCCAUCAGUAGACUUUGCUGGGGCUCCGGAAGGUGCAGAGUUCCCAAGCAGAUGAAUGGUCAACGUGGCCGCAUCCUGCGCUCACUGGCAUCGUGAAGGCAAGAAAGCCUUUUUGGUCUGCAUCUACUGUGGGUAGGAUGGAGUCCAAGGUGAACUACGUCAGCAUGGAUUUAAAGACAAGAUCGCCACCAGCAAAUAAAUCCAAAAUAUUGCUGAAGCAUUGCAAAGUGUAGCCAGACUUAUCCGCUUUCAUGUAACUUAUACAGCAUGUGUCACCACACUGAGCAGGCUGAGUGGUGCAGAAGGGAAGCAGCCGUAACGGAACUGAAAGUUUCAUCCAGGUCUAAGUGACGGGGAGGCAACUUGUGACCUGGGAGACUUGGCUUUUAACCCAACCUGUCCUGGCUAUGAAAUCCAGUUCCUCCAUUCUCAGGAGAGAAUCUUCAGAGAUAUUUAUGCUCUAUGAAACACAGAAAUACUUAUAAAUAACCUUCAGAACACUAGCGUCUUAAUGUUUUGUUACCAAUUUCAAACCAUAGUGACUGUCACACACGUUAACGGAGAAUAUCAAGAACUAAUUUUGCACUGAGCAUCAGCCAACACGUAGGGUGCAUUUACGCUGCCAUUUUUGCUCAGAUCAGAAGAGCGUUUCUGAAGUCGGCAUCCCGGUUGUCCUGACUUUGUCUUGCUUCACAUUUUGGAGUGGCAUCUGGGCGUACAAAGUGUAUCACUUUCAGAAGAAACUAAACCAGAUGUUCUCCAGAAACACAUUCAGUGUGCCCUGACCACUGACACUCAUUCUGCUGUUCAGCACCAGAUUACAACUAGUCCGAAAUAAAACCCUGUAAAAUGUUCGUGGUGUGAACAUUGGGCUCUGUAAGACAACUGGUUUAAUCUACGAUUCUGCCCCCACUGGUCAGCGCUACUUGCUAACGCAGACGUACCACAGAGUGGCAGCCAUGGUGUUUGCAUCUUUAAGUUUCUCAGGACUGUCCCUUGAGGAAUACAGUCCGGUGCUUAUUUCUGGAGCUGGAUGCCUAGAUUCUCAUUCACACUGAUUGCUAGGUCAACUAUGAGGUCUUUCAUCUCGUCCAGCCACACCCUGCUAUUCAUUUCCCUUUCAGUAUUUACUGUCAUCACUGUGCCCUCACUUUUCUGUCCUUCAGCUCUGGUUGAGUGGAUUGACCUUAAUGACUGGGGGCAUUUGGUGAGGGUGGUGGAAGUAAAGAAUCAAAAGCGGUAAGAACAUCCAGGCCGAAAGAUUUACGCUGGGUAUUCGGUCUCGCAGAUGAAGUGGUUCAGAGCCUUCAAAAUGGUGAUUCCUUCUGGGAACGGACCUCCAGACAGGCUCAGCUGGGCAUUACAAGAUUCAAGCUGGUGUUACAGAGGGAGCGGCUGAUCAGAUCUUCAGGCCAGUAGACAGUCAUCUCUUGAUUUUUAUUUUAAAAAGAAAUCAUCUCCUCCAGCCACUGAAAAGCUCGCUCUGAAGCACCAGCAUGUCCUCCACCUCUUCUGCCACUACUGGAUGUUGAGUUUGCUGUCAACUUCUGUAAUGAGCCAUUACAACUAUUGUAACGAUCGCCAUUAAAAGAGCAGGAAGGUAUCAUGA